Oreochromis aureus is the source of this 2393-nucleotide long non-coding RNA. The record is from Ensembl. NCBI's taxonomy places the organism in Eukaryota, Metazoa, Chordata, Actinopteri, Cichliformes, Cichlidae.
CCAGGUAAAAUAAAAACAAACAAACAAAAAAACAAAAAACCAUACCAGCAAUCGAUAGAGAGAAGGCUUCAGAGAAAACGAUCUGCAGGUGAUCUCUACAAAAACGGGAAGAGCACGAAUCGACAAAAAUAUGGCCAAUGGACUACUUGCACUAGGGCAGCGGUUCCCAAACUUUUUUUGUUAGGCCCUCCUUUGUUUUACAAGAAAAAUAUCGUCCCCCCCCGCCCACGCACAAACACAUCCUCCAACCACAAACACCCAUAUUUUGCUCCAUUCCGGUUUAUUUCACACCUCAAACAUUUAGUAAACAAUUAAGCAAAUACAAGUAAUCUGCAAUAAAUUACAAGUAGUAAUAAAAUAAACUACUAACUCUUUUACGCUACGUCCACACCUACACGGGUAUUUUUGAAAACGCAGCUGUUUCUAUGCGUUUGGGCCUUUCGUCAACACGUAAACGGCGUUUCGAAUCACCGAAAACGGAGAUUUUUUAAAACUCCUUUUUUGCGUUUUAAGUGUGGACGAGGAUUACAGAGUUCAUCACGCAACGUCAAAGAUGGAGGAUCACUAACAGGAGCGUGGGAAGACUCCAGAAUCCACUCUGGCUGGAAUCCGGUGGAUACAGCAGUGUUACAGAACAGUUCUCCACAGUCGCUGUCCACAUGGGUCAGUGGGACCAAGCAGCACUCUGCUAAUGUGGGACUCUGACCAGCAACAUCCAGCAAGACCCAGACAGCGUUUUCUAUCUCCCAGCUGGAGUUUUUUUGUUUGUGACGGGAGAGUCAGAUUUUUGUUGAAGCUGGAGGAACAGCCUCACACUUGCAGAGGUUACAUGCUACUGAUCCCUGAUGGGAGAAUCAUCACCUCUGCCAACAAAGAAGCCUGGUGGAUGUUUGUUUACAGACUGAUGAUGGGACAUCAUGCUCUGCAUCUUCAAAGUUUGUCUCUUGAUUAUUAUUCAUACACAGUAAUGUGAAGUAUGCUUAUAUCUAGUAUAACUGGACCAACCUGGUGCUCUUCAUUUAUGGAGGCUGUUGAGUCUGAAUGUUGGAUGUUGUGUAUCUCGUGUUCUCUGGGCUUUGUUGUCCUCAGUCUUUUUGCAGGAUCAGAAAACAAAACCAGGAGACCUGUAAAUGUUUCUUCUCCAAUUGGAUGAUGAUAAGACUGUGACACGGGAUGCCACCUUUAGUCUUGUGAUGAAGCAAAGCUCAGGAAGAAGUGUGAUUAAAUGGUACCCACAUGUGUGCUGCUGAGAAGGAUGUACAGGGGCACCUGCAGCCAAAUCCAAGCCUCCUCAGCAACUUCAGGUCUGUCAGCGUGCUGAGGUCACAGAAACAAGAAAAGCAGCUUCAGACUUCAGAGUGUUGUUUACAGUUUUCUGUCAUCAUGAUCUCCCCUGAAGUUUAUCAAGCAAUGGUGACGGUGUGGAGAGACGGUGGUGUUUCCUCAGAAGAACCAGCAGAGUCACAAAGGGCACGAGUCCAUCUCACCACCUUGACUUGCUGACUGAUGCUCGUCUGCACUGCACAGAGGAAAUCAACUGACCGAGUUUCUGAGUGAGGGAGAGAGGAGUCAUCAUCCAGGUAAAGUGACGUGGAUCAGUGGAUACACUUGUCUCCCCUUUAAAGGAGAUACUCUUAGAGAGAGACGAUCUGAGUCAUCAUAAAAUAUGGGAAGGAUAUCACUAUUAGACUGUCUAACCUGCCGGAGCAGCACUGAAUGAUCACCACACAUGACCAUGUUCCUGCAACAUUCAGCAUCUGAUCUGCCAUCUGUGUGCUUCUGCUUUUGUGUCAAAUGUCAAACAGCUGGAGAGGAAACUACACCAGUGUACUGGGAUGUUUCACCAACACGUGCCAGACGCUGUAACUUCAUGGUGACAUCACCAGAGACAGCCCUGCCCACCUCAGGACCUCGCCAUUGAUCAUGAUGAUUAUAAUAAUGACAGCGAGCGGAACUAAGACUGUAAAAAUCAACAACCAGAAUGUUUAGAUGCUUUCUAAUUAUUAAUGAAUACUGAGAGCCUCUUUCUGUGUUUUGUCUGUUUUGGGUUGUUUUGUUUUUUACCUCAUUUGUUACUAACAAAGUUCAACAAACUCACACAGUUUACAUUCUGUAUGUUUCCAUCUUUACCAGCCACAGUCUACCUGCAUUUAGAAAACAAACCUUAGAAAUUGUCGUUUUUCUCUUUUGUAAUUGAUGAUAAUUCAGUGAAUAUACUGCGCUGCUUCCUUUUAUUGCGUCAAACAUUGCUUUAAGUUUUUCAGUGUUCAGUUAUUUUUUACUGCUGUUUGAAUUCUCUGCAUGUUUGACCCUGUAGACUGUUUAAUGGACUGCUUGUCUUGUAACCGCCGCCUGUUUUUGACUAAAGAUUUGGAUUUCUGACUGUAACACAG